RNAcentral lists this unclassified non-coding RNA (290 nucleotides) under uncultured fungus. RNAcentral describes it as "partial contains 5.8S rRNA, ITS2 and 28S rRNA". It matches the Rfam family "Eukaryotic large subunit ribosomal RNA", at positions 668 to 961 of the family's 3401-position model. Lineage: Eukaryota; Fungi. The record is from RNAcentral.
AAGGAGUCCAACACAUAUGCGAGUGUUUGGGUGGCAAACCCGAGCGCGGAAUGAAAGUAAGUGCAGGUGGGAUCCCUCACGGGUGCACCAUCGACCGGUCUGGAUUCUUUUGAAAGAUCUGAGUAAGAGCAUAUUUGUUGGGACCCGAAAGAUGGUGAACUAUGCCUGAAUAGGGUAAAGUCAGAGGAAAUUCUGAUGGAAGCUCGUAGCGGUUCUGACGUGCAAAUCGAUCGUCAAAUUUGGGUAUAGGGGCGAAAGACUAAUCGAACCAUCUAGUAGCUGGUUCCCUC